This is a long non-coding RNA of Arabidopsis thaliana (thale cress), 239 nucleotides long. RefSeq annotates it as other RNA. Lineage: Eukaryota; Viridiplantae; Streptophyta; Magnoliopsida; Brassicales; Brassicaceae. The transcript has a single exon. The record is from RefSeq.
ACCUAAUCUUUAAAACUCAUGAAUGAUGCUCAAUUUUGCAUAUACACGUAAAUCAGUUUGCAGCUUCAUCCAAAUGAAUUAUCUGAAUGAGCAAACGAACAGCGGAACAUGGCCUAACUCUAAUGGAAGAAGAAAUAUAAUAUAAGGAAAUUUAGGGGUCCUUAGAUCAUCUGUAAUCCUCUUGAUAUCCUGCCUUUCUCUUGCAUCAUUUCUGACUUAUAACUUUCCUCCAUGAGACA